Molecule: ribosomal RNA, 415 nt
Filed under: uncultured Trichormus sp.
Lineage: Bacteria; Bacillati; Cyanobacteriota; Cyanophyceae; Nostocales; Nostocaceae
Description: bacterial SSU rRNA
Rfam family: Bacterial small subunit ribosomal RNA
Source: RNAcentral
GUGCCAGCAGCCGCGGUAAAACGUAGGAGGCGAGCGUUAUCCGGAAUGAUUGGGCGUAAAGCGUCCGUAGGUUGUAGUGUAAGUCUGCGGUUAAAGAGUCUAGCUUAACUAGAUAAAGGCCGUGGAAACUACACAACUAGAGUGCGUUCGGGGCAGGGGGAAUUCCUGGUGUAGCGGUGAAAUGCGUAGAGAUCAGGAAGAACACCGGUGGCGAAAGCGCCCUGCUAGGCCGUAACUGACACUGAGGGACGAAAGCUAGGGGAGCGAAUGGGAUUAGAUACCCCAGUAGUCCUAGCCGUAAACGAUGGAUACUAGGCGUUGGUAGUAUCGACCCUACCAGUGCCGUAGCUAACGCGUUAAGUAUCCCGCCUGGGGAGUACGCACGCAAGUGUGAAACUCAAAGGAAUUGACGGGA